This is a transfer RNA of Pestalotiopsis fici W106-1, 98 nucleotides long. It matches the Rfam family "tRNA". Rfam says of the family: Transfer RNA (tRNA) molecules are approximately 80 nucleotides in length. Their secondary structure includes four short double-helical elements and three loops (D, anti-codon, and T loops). Lineage: Eukaryota; Fungi; Ascomycota; Sordariomycetes; Amphisphaeriales; Sporocadaceae. The record is from Rfam.
UCCCUUGUGUCGCAAUGGUAGCGAGCCUGACUUGUAUAUAACAGUAUGACUGUUUAGUAGAGAUCAGGAGGUUCUUGGUUCGAGUCCAGGCGGGGGAG